RNAcentral lists this ribosomal RNA (441 nucleotides) under uncultured bacterium. RNAcentral describes it as "partial 16S ribosomal RNA". It matches the Rfam family "Bacterial small subunit ribosomal RNA", at positions 338 to 795 of the family's 1533-position model. The record is from RNAcentral.
CCUACGGUAGGCAGCAUUGGGGGAUAUUGCACAAUGGGGGGAACCCUGAUGCAGCGACGCCGCGUGGGUGAAGGAGUGCUUCGGCAUGUAAAGCCCUAUCGGCAGGGAAGAAGCAAGACGGUACCUGACUAAGAAGCCCCGGCUAACUACGUGCCAGCAGCCGCGGUAAUACGUAGGGGGCGAGCGUUAUCCGGAUUCACUGGGUGUAAAGGGAGCGUAGACGGCCAUGCAAGCCAGGGGUGAAAGCCCGGGGCCCAACCCCGGGACUGCCCUUGGAACUGCAUGGCUAGAGUGCAGAAGAGGUAAGCGGAAUUCCUAGUGUAGCGGUGAAAUGCGUAGAUAUUAGGAGGAACACCAGUGGCGAAGGCGGCUUACUGGACUGUAACUGACGUUGAGGCUCGAAAGCGUGGGGAGCAAACAGGAUUAGAUACCCUUGUAGUC